AGUGAACGCUGGCGGUAGGCCUAACACAUGCAAGUCGAACGGCAGCACAGUAAGAGCUUGCUCUUACGGGUGGCGAGUGGCGGACGGGUGAGGAAUACAUCGGAAUCUACUUUUUCGUGGGGGACAACGUAGGGAAACUUACGCUAAUACCGCAUACGACCUACGGGUGAAAGCAGGGGAUCUUCGGACCUUGCGCGAUUGAAUGAGCCGAUGUCGGAUUAGCUAGUUGGCGGGGUAAAGGCCCACCAAGGCGACGAUCCGUAGCUGGUCUGAGAGGAUGAUCAGCCACACUGGAACUGAGACACGGUCCAGACUCCUACGGGAGGCAGCAGUGGGGAAUAUUGGACAAAGGGCGCAAGCCUGAUCCAGCCAUACCGCGUGGGUGAAGAAGGCCUUCGGGUUGUAAAGCCCUUUUGCUGGGAAAGAAAAGCAGCAGGUUAAUACCCCGCUGUUCUGACGGUACCCAAAGAAUAAGCACCGGCUAACUUCGUG
RNAcentral lists this ribosomal RNA (492 nucleotides) under uncultured bacterium. RNAcentral's name for it is "partial 16S ribosomal RNA". It matches the Rfam family "Bacterial small subunit ribosomal RNA", at positions 29 to 507 of the family's 1533-position model. The record is from RNAcentral.